AAUAUUGCACAAUGGGCGAAAGCCUGAUCCAGCCACGCCGCGUGAGUGAUGAAGGCCUUCGGGUCGUAAAGCUCUGUGGGGAGGGACGAACCGCCGGUGGUUAAUACCCAUCGGCAUGACGGUACCUCCUUAGCAAGCACCGGCUAACUUCGUGCCAGCAGCCGCGGUAAUACGAAGGGUGCAAACGUUGCUCGGAAUCAUUGGGCGUAAAGCGCACGUAGGCGGCUUUGCAAGUCUGACGUGAAAUCCCUCAGCUCAACUGAGGAAGUGCAUCGGAAACUGCAAGGCUUGAGUACUGAAGAGGAUCGCGGAAUUCCCGGUGUAGAGGUGAAAUUCGUAGAUAUCGGGAGGAACACCAGUGGCGAAGGCGGCGAUCUGGGCAGAUACUGACGCUGAGGUGCGAAAGCGUGGGGAGCAAAC
This 420-nucleotide ribosomal RNA is filed under the name uncultured bacterium. RNAcentral describes it as "bacterial SSU rRNA". It matches the Rfam family "Bacterial small subunit ribosomal RNA", at positions 360 to 773 of the family's 1533-position model. The record is from RNAcentral.